AGUGAACGCUGGCGGUAGGCCUAACACAUGCAAGUCGAACGGCAGCACAGUAAGAGCUUGCCCUUACGGGUGGCGAGUGGCGGACGGGUGAGGAAUACAUCGGAAUCUACUUUUUCGUGGGGGAUAACGUAGGGAAACUUACGCUAAUACCGCAUACGACCUACGGGUGAAAGCAGGGGAUCUUCGGACCUUGCGCGAUUGAAUGAGCCGAUGUCGGAUUAGCUAGUUGGCGGGGUAAAGGCCCACCAAGGCGACGUUCCGUAGCUGGUCUGAGAGGAUGAUCAGCCAAACUGGAACUGAGACACGGUCCAGACUCCUACGGGAGGCAGCAGUGGGGAAUAUUGGACAAUGGGCGCAAGCCUGAUCCAGCCAUACCGCGUGGGUGAAGAAGGCCUUCGGGUUGUAAAGCCCUUUUGUUGGGAAAGAAAAGCAGCAGGUUAAUACCCCGCUGUUCUGACGGUACCCAAAGAAUAAGCACCGGCUAACUUCGUG
Molecule: ribosomal RNA, 492 nt
Filed under: uncultured bacterium
Lineage: Bacteria
Description: partial 16S ribosomal RNA
Rfam family: Bacterial small subunit ribosomal RNA
Source: RNAcentral